RNAcentral lists this long non-coding RNA (572 nucleotides) under Mus pahari (shrew mouse). RNAcentral's name for it is "predicted gene 13572 (MGP_PahariEiJ_G0005458.1)". Lineage: Eukaryota; Metazoa; Chordata; Mammalia; Rodentia; Muridae. The record is from RNAcentral.
CAGAGCAGAGACAGCACUGCACAGCCAGCCUCGGUGUUUUCAGUUGAAAGGCUUGAAAGAAUACUUACUAUUGUAUCCUAGCUCUGCUGACCCCAGAGGUCACAAUAUGUCUUUUAUCAAGCGCUAUAAGGAAAGCACAAGCCAAGCAAGCAUUUGCAAUGCUCUGUUUGUAGAAACACCUAAAAUCUACCUAACACAACCUCUCCCUCACAAAACAUGGCUGUCUUAUUCAGAGAUUAGCAAUUAUUGUAAUGAGAUACUGUCGGAGAGGGUCAAAUAGUACUUCCUGCAGUUUACACAUCUUGAUUUCCUGGUAAACAAACUGAGAGGCAGGUGGAGCACUUGGCACGCCAGUAACUGAGAGCUCACGUGACUACACCGAGCCAGCAUGCAAACAUGGUCCUUAUUUCGUCAGAGAAAAUGGUGAAUGGAAUUCCUGCCACACAGACACAGGCUGUGUAUUCGUAUAUCAAGACAAAACUAUUAUUUCAACUAUUUCAAAAGUGUAUGCACGACUGUGUUAGGUCCCACAACAGUUCACAUUUAAACAAAGAAAACAUUGAAGAGAAACA